GGUUGAUCCUGCCAGUAGUCAUAUGCUUGUCUCAAAGACUAAGCCAUGCAAGUCUAAGGAUAAAUACUCAUUUACCGUAAACCUGCGAACGGCUCAUUAAAUCAGUUAUAAUUUAUUUGAUUAUACAUCCUAUUUGGAUAACCGUAGUAAUUCUAGAGCUAAUACAUGCAAAAAAUUUUGACAGAAGCAAUUCUGAAAGAACGUACUUAUUGGAUAAAAAUCAAUACAAAGUAUCCCAAACUACAUCUUAUUUCGAUUUGAUGUGGGCUUUGUUUCUUAUUUUGAAAAAUGAU
This 293-nucleotide ribosomal RNA is filed under the name uncultured eukaryote. RNAcentral's name for it is "partial 18S ribosomal RNA". It matches the Rfam family "Eukaryotic small subunit ribosomal RNA", at positions 6 to 257 of the family's 1831-position model. The record is from RNAcentral.